UCCUUAAUGGCUUACUACAUGGGGUUGUA
RNAcentral lists this non-coding RNA (29 nucleotides) under Mus musculus (house mouse). Lineage: Eukaryota; Metazoa; Chordata; Mammalia; Rodentia; Muridae. The record is from RNAcentral.